This 404-nucleotide ribosomal RNA is filed under the name Fusobacteriota bacterium. RNAcentral's name for it is "Fusobacteria bacterium partial 16S ribosomal RNA". It matches the Rfam family "Bacterial small subunit ribosomal RNA", at positions 355 to 776 of the family's 1533-position model. The record is from RNAcentral. Lineage: Bacteria; Fusobacteriati; Fusobacteriota.
UGGGGAAUAUUGCACAAUGGAGGGAACUCUGAUGCAGCGACGCCGCGUGAGUGAUGAAGGAAUUCGUUUCGUAAAACUCUGUUCUAUGGGAAGAAAAGGACUGUACCAUAGGAGAAAGCUCCGGCUAAAUACGUGCCAGCAGCCGCGGUAAUACGUAUGGAGCGAGCGUUGUCCGGAAUUAUUGGGCGUAAAGGGUGCGCAGGCGGCUUUACAAGUUGGAUGUGAAAUAUUGUGGCUCAACCACAAACGUGCAUCCAAAACUGCAACGCUUGAGUUAAGGAGAGGUAAGUGGAAUUCCUGGUGUAGCGGUGGAAUGCGUAGAUAUCAGGAGGAAUACCGGUGGCGAAGGCGACUUACUGGACUUAAACUGACGCUCAGGCACGAAAGCGUGGGGAGCAAACAGG